UCUCUGUUUUCACAUGUAGGGAAACUUCCGACAGGCCAGCAGCGGUGCCCCGGUGUCCCGGGAAGAGCUGAUGAUGGUACUGUCUAGACUGGAAGAUGUGCGCCUCCGAGGCCUCUACUUCACUGAGACCCAGCGGCUCUCUCUGAGCGGGGUGGGGCUGGAGGAGGCCUCUGACACAGGAAGUGGACGCAGAGCACAUAACGUCGAGAUGUGUGCCUGCCCCCCUGACUACACUGGUGACUCAUGCCAGGGUUGUAGCCCUGGGUACUAUCGUGAUAACAAAGGCCUGUAUACCGGACGAUGUGUUCCCUGCAAUUGCAACGGACAUUCCAAUCGAUGUCAGGAUGGCUCGGGAAUAUGUAUCAACUGCCAGCACAACACUGCGGGAGAACACUGUGAGCGCUGCAGAGAGGGUCACUAUGGGAACGCCAUCCAGGGGUCCUGUAGCGUCUGCAUGUGUCCUCAUUC
Leptonychotes weddellii (Weddell seal) is the source of this 468-nucleotide non-coding RNA. The record is from RefSeq and is a predicted model, not a curated record. Lineage: Eukaryota; Metazoa; Chordata; Mammalia; Carnivora; Phocidae.